Molecule: ribosomal RNA, 292 nt
Filed under: uncultured bacterium
Lineage: Bacteria
Description: partial 16S ribosomal RNA
Rfam family: Bacterial small subunit ribosomal RNA
Source: RNAcentral
GUGUCAGCAGCCGCGGUAAUACGUAGGGUGCAAGCGUUGUCCGGAAUCAUUGGGCGUAAAGCGCGUGUAGGCGGCUUGGUAAGUCAGCUGUGAAAGCCCAGGGCUCAACCCUGGGAUGCCGGUUGAUACUGCCAAGCUCGAGUCCGGAAGAGGAGUGUGGAAUUCCUGGUGUAGCGGUGAAAUGCGCAGAUAUCAGGAGGAACACCAAUGGCGAAGGCAGCACUCUGGGACGUGACUGACGCUGAGACGCGAAAGCGUGGGGAGCAAACAGGAUUAGAUACCCCGGUAGUCC